AUAAAAGUCAAGCAUGUGGGUCUGAUUAAUGUUAUGUCCAUCUCAUUUACAGGUAUUUUUUUCUAAGAGCUGAUGCAACCAUGCCAGAACCUUGCACAAGACAAUGAGGAGCUACGGGUGUGCCAUGAGAGGAGGUGAAGCAGCCUGCUUUCAACAGUGGAAAGGAGCGUUUUGCCUAGUUUGAAAGACUGGUGACAUGAAAGAUAGAUACUUCUGGGCUGUCAGAGGAAGGAAGCUCAGCUAUUUCAGAGCAUGCACCCUCAGUGAAUGUGAGUAGACUGUGUGUUCUCAUAAUUUUCCAAAAAGAUUGGUCCUGAGAGCUGA
RNAcentral lists this long non-coding RNA (324 nucleotides) under Phasianus colchicus (ring-necked pheasant). RNAcentral describes it as "lncRNA (ENSPCLG00000021263.1)". The record is from RNAcentral. Lineage: Eukaryota; Metazoa; Chordata; Aves; Galliformes; Phasianidae.